This 342-nucleotide ribosomal RNA is filed under the name Triticum aestivum (bread wheat). RNAcentral describes it as "partial small subunit ribosomal RNA". Lineage: Eukaryota; Viridiplantae; Streptophyta; Magnoliopsida; Poales; Poaceae. The record is from RNAcentral.
AUGCUCUCGCGUGUUCUUGGGGCCAUCUUGUUGGGGGUCUGCGACUCUGGGAGGAAGCGAGCGGUCGGUCGGUUUGGGCCACCGUCUUGUUUGCGAACUAACAAGUCCGUUUGUUUGAGAAACUUCUGUUCCUGCGUUUCAUGUUCACGGUGGAGCGAUGGUUCAUGUGUUUACUUGUGCGUGCGCUUCUGUUAUCUGACGAUCCUGCGUUUCGUGUUCGCGUCGGGGAGAUGGUUGCAGGAACGAUCGGUUCUGGUUUCGAAAUUGGAGCGCUGUCAAGUCGGUUUCUCUGUUCCAUCACCUGUGUUGUUCGUCCGUUAUUUCCAGAUCUCGAACGCAUGA